UAACGAAGGGGCUAGCGUUGCUCGGAAUCACUGGGCGUAAAGGGCGCGUAGGCGGCGUUUUAAGUCGGGGUGAAAGCCUGUGGCUCAACCACAGAAUGGCCUCGAUACUGGGACGCUUGAGUAUGGUAGAGGUUGGUGGAACUGCGAGUGUAGAGGUGAAAUUCGUAGAUAUUCGCAAGAACACCGGUGGCGAAGGCGGCCAACUGGACCAUUACUGACGCUGAGGCGCGAAAGCGUGGGGAGCAAAACAGG
Molecule: ribosomal RNA, 252 nt
Filed under: uncultured bacterium
Lineage: Bacteria
Description: partial 16S ribosomal RNA
Rfam family: Bacterial small subunit ribosomal RNA
Source: RNAcentral